Oncorhynchus tshawytscha (Chinook salmon) is the source of this 512-nucleotide long non-coding RNA. The record is from Ensembl. Lineage: Eukaryota; Metazoa; Chordata; Actinopteri; Salmoniformes; Salmonidae.
AAAAGGGUCCUGAGAAGCAAUGGAUAUGAAAUUGGCACAAUUUCCAAAUUAUGAUCCAAUUUUGUGUUCUUGCCAACUCCGUUGCUGUCUUUGUCAAGCCAAACACUGGCACCCAGGCUAAGUUAAGAGGUACAGACUGACUGGCACCCAGGCUAGGUUGAGAGGUACAGACUGACUGGCACCCAGGCUAGGUUGAGAGGUACAGACUGACUGGCACCCAGGCUAGGUUGAGAGGUACAGAUCGACUGGCACCCAGGCUAGGUUGAGAGGUACAGACUGGCACCCAGGCUAGGUUGAGAGGUACAGAUUGACUGGCACCCAGGCUAGGUUGAGAGGUACAGACUGGCACCCAGGCUAGGUUGAGAGGUACAGACUGACUGGCACCCAGGCUAGGUUGAGAGGUACAGAUUGACUAGCACCCAGGCUAGGUUGAGAGGUACAGACUGACUGGCACCCAGGCUAGGUUGAGAGGUACAGACUGACUGGCACCCAGGCUAGGUUGAGAGGUACAG